Molecule: ribosomal RNA, 497 nt
Filed under: uncultured bacterium
Lineage: Bacteria
Description: partial 16S ribosomal RNA
Rfam family: Bacterial small subunit ribosomal RNA
Source: RNAcentral
GAUGAACGCUGGCGGCGUGCCUAAUACAUGCAAGUCGAGCGAACAGACGAGGAGCUUGCUCCUCUGACGUUAGCGGCGGACGGGUGAGUAACACGUGGAUAACCUACCUAUAAGACUGGGAUAAAUUCGGGAAACCGGAGCUAAUACCGGAUAAUAUAUUGAACCGCAUGGUUCAAUAGUGAAAGACGGUUUUGCUGUCACUUAUAGAUGGAUCCGCGCCGCAUUAGCUAGUUGGUAAGGUAACGGCUUACCAAGGCAACGAUGCGUAGCCGACCUGAGAGGGUGAUCGGCCACACUGGAACUGAGACACGGUCCAGACUCCUACGGGAAGCAGCAGUAGGGAAUCUUCCGCAAUGGGCGAAAGCCUGACGGAGCAACGCCGCGUGAGUGAUGAAGGUCUUCGGAUCGUAAAACUCUGUUAUUAGGGAAGAACAAAUGUGUAAGUAACUAUGCACGUCUUGACGGUACCUAAUCAGAAAGCCACGGCUAACUACGUG